This 288-nucleotide unclassified non-coding RNA is filed under the name Arabidopsis thaliana (thale cress). Lineage: Eukaryota; Viridiplantae; Streptophyta; Magnoliopsida; Brassicales; Brassicaceae. The record is from RNAcentral.
UUUGAUUUAUGAACCUCCUCAAGAAGGAAAGACAGAGGAGGAGACAAAGAAGUAUAGGUUCACAUUGCAUAGCCAGUUUAGUUUUGAAGGAUGGAUAUAUGAAAAAAAUAUGAAGAGAGAGAAGAGAGAAGAAGAGGAGGAUUAAAGAGGGUGAGGCCAGCUUUUGUGCUUUGGUAGUAGAUGAGGUUUAAAUGCUCCAUACCUUCCAUUUCCUUCUCUCUUACCCUAAUUUAAUUCUUCCUCUCCUUUAUAACUCCCCACAGACAUUCUCACUUCUCCUCCUCACAC